This 486-nucleotide ribosomal RNA is filed under the name uncultured bacterium. RNAcentral's name for it is "bacterial SSU rRNA". It matches the Rfam family "Bacterial small subunit ribosomal RNA", at positions 501 to 987 of the family's 1533-position model. The record is from RNAcentral.
CUACGUGCCAGCAGCCGCGGUAAUACGUAGGGUGCGAGCGUUAAUCGGAAUUACUGGGCGUAAAGCGAGCGCAGACGGUUACUUAAGCAGGAUGUGAAAUCCCCGGGCUCAACCUGGGAACUGCGUUCUGAACUGGGUGACUAGAGUGUGUCAGAGGGAGGUAGAAUUCCACGUGUAGCAGUGAAAUGCGUAGAGAUGUGGAGGAAUACCGAUGGCGAAGGCAGCCUCCUGGGAUAACACUGACGUUCAUGCUCGAAAGCGUGGGUAGCAAACAGGAUUAGAUACCCUGGUAGUCCACGCCCUAAACGAUGUCAAUUAGCUGUUGGGCAACUUGAUUGCUUAGUAGCGAAGCUAACGCGUGAAAUCGACCGCCUGGGGAGUACGGUCGCAAGAUUAAAACUCAAAGGAAUUGACGGGGACCCGCACAAGCGGUGGAUGAUGUGGAUUAAUUCGAUGCAACGCGAAGAACCUUACCKGUCUUGACAU